Molecule: ribosomal RNA, 467 nt
Filed under: uncultured bacterium
Lineage: Bacteria
Description: partial 16S ribosomal RNA
Rfam family: Bacterial small subunit ribosomal RNA
Source: RNAcentral
ACGAACGCUGGCGGCGUGCUUAACACAUGCAAGUCGAACGGAAAGGCCCUGCUUUUGUGGGGUGCUCGAGUGGCGAACGGGUGAGUAACACGUGAGUAACCUGCCCUUGACUUUGGGAUAACUUCAGGAAACUGGGGCUAAUACCGGGUAGGAGCUCCUGCUGCAUGGUGGGGGUUGGAAAGUUUCGGCGGUUGGGGAUGGACUCGCGGCUUAUCAGCUUGUUGGUGGGGUAGUGGCUUACCAAGGCUUUGACGGGUAGCCGGCCUGAGAGGGUGACCGGCCACAUUGGGACUGAGAUACGGCCCAGACUCCUACGGGAGGCAGCAGUGGGGAAUAUUGCACAAUGGGCGGAAGCCUGAUGCAGCAACGCCGCGUGCGGGAUGACGGCCUUCGGGUUGUAAACCGCUUUCGCCUGUGACGAAGCGUGAGUGACGGUAAUGGGUAAAGAAGCACCGGCUAACUACGCG